AACACACAUGCAAGCUGGGGCACACAUGUGUGCACGCACCAUGCAUGCAGGGAGCCUUGUACACACGUGAGUAAGAGUCUUCCUAAGGCACAACAUGGGUUGGCCUUUUGCCUUCGGGCUGGACCUUCUUGGGUCGUGGCUCACUUAAGUCGUGAGUCUUGACUUUUCUUGGGCCCUAGGUUAUUCUCUUCUUGGAUUAGGCCAAU
Molecule: long non-coding RNA, 206 nt
Filed under: Carica papaya (papaya)
Lineage: Eukaryota; Viridiplantae; Streptophyta; Magnoliopsida; Brassicales; Caricaceae
Description: long non-coding RNA (CPAP_LNC013071)
Source: RNAcentral